CUAGUAAUCGUAGGUCAGCAUACUACGGUGAAUACGUUCCCGGGCCUUGUACACACCGCCCGUCAAACCAUGAGAGUUAGCAACACCCGAAGUCGGUAGUCUAACCGCAAGGAGGACGCCGCCGAAGGUGGGGUUGAUGAUUAGGGUUAAGUCGUAACAAGGUAUC
RNAcentral lists this ribosomal RNA (166 nucleotides) under uncultured bacterium. RNAcentral's name for it is "partial 16S ribosomal RNA". It matches the Rfam family "Bacterial small subunit ribosomal RNA", at positions 1335 to 1500 of the family's 1533-position model. The record is from RNAcentral.